UUUGGAAUCCGAUAUUUUUAUCACCGGAAAUCAUGAUCGGAGCAGAGCAGUGCAAAAUAAGAGUUUUCAACAUUCAAGAAAAAGGUUAUGUUGAUGGGUUUCUCCUUUGGUUUUGGGCUCGAGUUGAGUUGUGAGCAUUAAAAAGCUAGGUGUUUUAGGCCUAGACUUUUAGUUAGUUGAAGAGUUAGUUUUCUCUUUUUGUUAUUACUCUAAUUAAUUUAAUUUAUUUAUACUAUUUACUUAUGUUGGUUUAUCACUUAGUUAUGUAAUCGCAUUUCUUGUAGUAGUGACAUUCCCAGAAGACGAUGUUUCCGCCAUCGUCCUAUUAAUACUAUUAUUAUUUCUUUCGUUUCCGCUUUCAAA
Long non-coding RNA from Beta vulgaris subsp. vulgaris (sugar beet), 363 nucleotides. RefSeq lists it as uncharacterized. Lineage: Eukaryota; Viridiplantae; Streptophyta; Magnoliopsida; Caryophyllales; Amaranthaceae. The record is from RefSeq and is a predicted model, not a curated record. The transcript is spliced from 2 exons.